Molecule: non-coding RNA, 88 nt
Organism: Rhizodiscina lignyota
Lineage: Eukaryota; Fungi; Ascomycota; Dothideomycetes; Aulographales; Rhizodiscinaceae
Source: the annotation of a GenBank genome assembly
GGGCGUAUAGCUCAGUGGUAGAGCGCCCGCUUCGCAUAACCGUGAUCCAACUUGCGGGAGGUCUGGGGUUCGAUCCCCCAUUCGUCCA